Molecule: non-coding RNA, 549 nt
Organism: Phyllostomus discolor (pale spear-nosed bat)
Lineage: Eukaryota; Metazoa; Chordata; Mammalia; Chiroptera; Phyllostomidae
Source: the annotation of a RefSeq genome assembly
AUGAGAGGGGGAGGAGUGUCCCUUGGGCCUGGGGAAACUGUCAGGGACAGUGACAUCACAGGCAGAGCCGCCAACCAAGGCCAAGGAGACCAGAGCCCACCCCCCACCCCCAUGGCAUCCCAGUUAGAAGAGGCCAUUGGGCCUGACUCCACCAUGGGCUGCUGGCUGCUGGGCUGUGUGGCCCUCUGUCUCCUGGGAGCAGUCUGCCCAGACACUGGAAUUACUCAGGUACCAAAGUUCCUGGUGAUGGGAAUGAGAGAUAAGAAGUCUUUGAAGUGCGAACAACAGCUGGGACAUAACGCUAUGUACUGGUACAAACAGAGCCCUCACAAGCCGCUGCAGCUCCUGUUUGUCUGUAGCUACAAGGAACUCACUGAAAACAAUACUGUCCCAGAACGCUUCACGCCCAAACGCCCAGACACCGCUCAGUUACACCUGCUCGUGGAUGCCCUGGAGCCAGAAGACUCGGCCCUGUACCUCUGUGCCAGCAGCAAAGACACAGCCCUGCAGGGCCACCGCCUCCCUGUGCAGAAACCUCCCGAUCUCUAG